GUCGCCUCCACCUGAGUCUCUGAGUGGAGCGGAGGACGACUCCAAGAGCUCCAAAGUGGUGGGCUGGUUCGUCCAGGGACUAGGCCUCAGGAUGCCCCAACCCGUCCCAAAAAACAGAGAUGACGCCGGGGUGACAGCUGAAGUUCUACAAAAUGUGGGAAAGGCGCUGAGAGCCCCUUAAACAAAAGGAGAAAGAAGACUGAGGAACAGUCUGUCAGACAGAGACAGAUACUAACAGACAGACAGACAGACACACAGACAGACAGACAGAC
This is a long non-coding RNA of Osmerus eperlanus (European smelt), 272 nucleotides long. RefSeq lists it as uncharacterized. The transcript is spliced from 4 exons. NCBI's taxonomy places the organism in Eukaryota, Metazoa, Chordata, Actinopteri, Osmeriformes, Osmeridae. The record is from RefSeq and is a predicted model, not a curated record.